RNAcentral lists this ribosomal RNA (486 nucleotides) under uncultured bacterium. RNAcentral's name for it is "partial 16S ribosomal RNA". It matches the Rfam family "Bacterial small subunit ribosomal RNA", at positions 30 to 507 of the family's 1533-position model. The record is from RNAcentral.
AUUGAACGCUGGCGGCAUGCCUUACACAUGCAAGUCGAACGGCAGCACGGGUGCUUGCACCUGGUGGCGAGUGGCGAACGGGUGAGUAAUACAUCGGAACAUGUCCUGUAGUGGGGGAUAGCCCGGCGAAAGCCGGAUUAAUACCGCAUACGAACUACGGAUGAAAGCGGGGGACCUUCGGGCCUCGCGCUUUCGGGUUGGCCGAUGGCUGAUUAGCUAGUUGGUGGGGUAAAGGCCUACCAAGGCGACGAUCAGUAGCUGGUCUGAGAGGACGACCAGCCACACUGGGACUGAGACACGGCCCAGACUCCUACGGGAGGCAGCAGUGGGGAAUUUUGGACAAUGGGCGAAAGCCUGAUCCAGCAAUGCCGCGUGUGUGAAGAAGGCCUUCGGGUUGUAAAGCACUUUUGUCCGGAAAGAAAACCUUUGCCCUAAUACGGUCGGGGGAUGACGGUACCGGAAGAAUAAGCACCGGCUAACUACGUG